UACAGAGGUCUCAAGCGUUGUUCGGAUUCAUUGGGCGUAAAGGGUGCGUAGGCGGUUUGUCGCGUCUGCCGUGAAAGUCCGGGGCUCAACUCCGGAUCUGCGGUGGGUACGGGCAGACUAGAGUGAUGUAGGGGAGACUGGAAUUCCUGGUGUAGCGGUGAAAUGUGUAGAGAUCGGGAGGAACACCGGUGGCGAAGGCGGGUCUCUGGGCAACUCCUGACGCUGAGGCGCGAAAGCGUGGGGAGCAAACGGG
This 253-nucleotide ribosomal RNA is filed under the name uncultured bacterium. RNAcentral describes it as "partial 16S ribosomal RNA". It matches the Rfam family "Bacterial small subunit ribosomal RNA", at positions 524 to 776 of the family's 1533-position model. The record is from RNAcentral.